RNAcentral lists this ribosomal RNA (444 nucleotides) under uncultured soil bacterium. RNAcentral describes it as "bacterial SSU rRNA". It matches the Rfam family "Bacterial small subunit ribosomal RNA", at positions 26 to 518 of the family's 1533-position model. The record is from RNAcentral.
AGAACGAACGCUGGCGGCAUGCCUAAUACAUGCAAGUCGAACGAACUCUUCGGAGUUAGUGGCGCACGGGUGCGUAACGCGUGGGAAUCUGCCCCUUGGUUCGGAAUAACAGUUGGAAACGACUGCUAAUACCGGAUGAUGACGAAAGUCCAAAGAUUUAUCGCCAAGGGAUGAGCCCGCGUAGGAUUAGCUAGUUGGUGAGGUAAAGGCUCACCAAGGCAACGAUCCUUAGCUGGUCUGAGAGGAUGAUCAGCCACACUGGGACUGAGACACGGCCCAGACUCCUACGGGAGGCAGCAGUAGGGAAUAUUGGACAAUGGGCGAAAGCCUGAUCCAGCAAUGCCGCGUGAGUGAUGAAGGCCUUAGGGUUGUAAAGCUCUUUUACCCGAGAUGAUAAUGACAGUAUCGGAGAAUAAGCCCGGCUAACUCCGCGCCAGCAGCCGC